GGACAAUCUUUCCCAGCUCUCCAGAAA
Molecule: non-coding RNA, 27 nt
Filed under: Rattus norvegicus (Norway rat)
Lineage: Eukaryota; Metazoa; Chordata; Mammalia; Rodentia; Muridae
Source: RNAcentral